RNAcentral lists this ribosomal RNA (497 nucleotides) under uncultured bacterium. RNAcentral describes it as "partial 16S ribosomal RNA". It matches the Rfam family "Bacterial small subunit ribosomal RNA", at positions 28 to 506 of the family's 1533-position model. The record is from RNAcentral.
GAUGAACGCUGGCGGCGUGCCUAAUACAUGCAAGUCGAGCGAACAGACGAGGAGCUUGCUCCUCUGACGUUAGCGGCGGACGGGUGAGUAACACGUGGAUAACCUACCUAUAAGACUGGGAUAACUUCGGGAAACCGGAGCUAAUACCGGAUAAUAUAUUGAACCGCAUGGUUCAAUAGUGAAAGACGGUUUUGCUGUCACUUAUAGAUGGAUCCGCGCCGCAUUAGCUAGUUGGUAAGGUAACGGCUUACCAAGGCGACGAUGCGUAGCCGACCUGAGGGGGGCGCCGACCCACACGGGAGCUGAGACAGGCCCAAGCCCCCGGGGGGAGGAAGAGGGGGGGAUUUUGCGAAAAGGGGCGAAAGCCGGAGGAAGCACGGCGGGGUGGGGAAAGAAGUCUUCGGGGUUGAAAAGCAUUUUUGUGGGGAAAAAAAAAUUUGGAUGUAAUACAGCCGGUCGGGGGGGGUACUAGAAGAAAACCCACCGGCAAACUGCGU